UAGCAAAUCCAAACAAUGAGAUCCGUCUUUUUUUUUUUCAAACCAUAAACAAGAAGCUUAAACAAUUGCUUUCAAACCAAUAACCAUUUACCUUGCAAAGUCAUAAAACUCAAGCAAACUUUCGGUUCUCACCGUAUCCACAUGCGAUUCACCUUUCUUUUUUCAAUAUGACAAAGCAUCAAACAAACAAAAUCAUGGCAUACAAGACUUGACG
RNAcentral lists this long non-coding RNA (214 nucleotides) under Trifolium pratense (red clover). RNAcentral describes it as "long non-coding RNA (TPRA_LNC012240)". The record is from RNAcentral. Lineage: Eukaryota; Viridiplantae; Streptophyta; Magnoliopsida; Fabales; Fabaceae.